This 276-nucleotide long non-coding RNA is filed under the name Cavia porcellus (domestic guinea pig). RNAcentral's name for it is "lncRNA (ENSCPOG00000037324.1)". The record is from RNAcentral. Lineage: Eukaryota; Metazoa; Chordata; Mammalia; Rodentia; Caviidae.
CAGGGGGCCCGUGGGCCCAUUCCAGCAGCCCUCCCUCCCCUCCCGCAGGCAGCUGUCCCCGCAUUCAGCAGUGGGGGGCAUAGGACCCCCGGAAAUAGACCAGAAAGGGCUCCGAGAAGCCCCUCCUGGACCCGGGGGCCGAGGAUGCCCCAUUAAGGCAUCCAGGCUGGAGACAGCACGUGUGCAGCUCUGUCGGUGUGGAUGUCUCCAGCAGCUGGGCCACGAGCUCACCAGGAGGCUGCCCUUCAACCUGGCUCAAUCCUGGCAGCAUGUGCA